GGUUCAUCUGUGUUCCAACACGUGUCAGCUUCAUUUCUUCCGUGGAAAAAGAAAACAAAUGGGUCCAUGAGAAGAUAUUAGAAGAUAUUACAAAUCUGGAGUCUGAGAAGAUAUUACAAAUCUGGAGUAUGGCUGAGAACAAGAGAGCAACUAAGAGCCUGAGACCCACCACGCCCUACCUUCCAGGAUGGAUCCUGAGACAUUGUGCUUAGGGCUCUGGCACUCAUGAAAGGACAGAUGUCCCUCACAGGAGGUACUUGGAGUGAAAGCCACAGAGACAGAAAGAACGCACCCAUUCCCAGUUUGGCUUCUGAGUCCUCAAUUCCCACAGCAAUCAGCCAGUAUCACCUGAUACCCUUCCCAGGGUUGGGGUACACUCUGGUUGAUAUGACAAUGCCCACUGUGCUGGGGUUCCUUGAAACGGCACAGAGGUGAGCCUUCUUCCGGGGGACUCGGCUUCAGAGGGUCACUGUGGCUGCAUCUCUUCGAGUCUAACACACCAUCUUCCUCCGACGUGCCUUGUGUUGAAAACACUAUUUCCACGUCCUUCCACUCUGGCGGUUCCUCGUGGAGAUUGGAGAUUUGCCCACAGGCCUGCACACCAGCCUUUCCCCGCAGGCCGCUGGAGCCUCCACGUCCAGCUGCUGAGUGCUGACGGUACAGAAUGGAUUCCUCGUGUCCAUCCCCUUUCGCCUUUCCUGCCACGUUUUAGAAACCGCUUUCUUGAGGUGCAUUUUGCACGUAAUAAAAGUCACUCUACUCCCACAGA
Long non-coding RNA from Suricata suricatta (meerkat), 769 nucleotides. RefSeq lists it as uncharacterized. The record is from RefSeq and is a predicted model, not a curated record. NCBI's taxonomy places the organism in Eukaryota, Metazoa, Chordata, Mammalia, Carnivora, Herpestidae. The transcript is spliced from 4 exons.